CAAUUGACCAAGCAGCCGUUUC
Molecule: non-coding RNA, 22 nt
Filed under: Arabidopsis thaliana (thale cress)
Lineage: Eukaryota; Viridiplantae; Streptophyta; Magnoliopsida; Brassicales; Brassicaceae
Source: RNAcentral